CACAAGCGGUGGAGCAUGUGGUUUAAUUCGAAGCAACGCGAAGAACCUUACCAGGCCUUGACAUGCUAGGAACCGGGUGAAAGCCUGGGGUGCCCCGCGAGGGGAGCCCUAGCACAGGUGCUGCAUGGCCGUCGUCAGCUCGUGCCGUGAGGUGUUGGGUUAAGUCCCGCAACGAGCGCAACCCCCGCCGUUAGUUGCCAGCGGUUCGGCCGGGCACUCUAACGGGACUGCCGCGAAAGCGGGAGGAAGGAGGGGACGACGUCUGGUCAGCAUGGCCCUUACGGCCUGGGCGACACACGUGCUACAAUGGCCGGUACAGACGGAGGCGAAGCCGCGAGGCGGAGCAAAUCCGAAAAAGCCGGUCUCAGUUCGGAUUGCAGGCUGCAAUUCGCCUGCAUGAAGUCGGAAUCGCUAGUAAUCGCAGGUCAGCAUACUGCGGUGAAUACGUUCCCGGGCCUU
RNAcentral lists this ribosomal RNA (459 nucleotides) under uncultured Thermus sp. RNAcentral's name for it is "bacterial SSU rRNA". It matches the Rfam family "Bacterial small subunit ribosomal RNA", at positions 924 to 1382 of the family's 1533-position model. The record is from RNAcentral. Lineage: Bacteria; Thermotogati; Deinococcota; Deinococci; Thermales; Thermaceae.